GAUGAACGCUGGCGGCGUGCCUAAUACAUGCAAGUCGAGCGAACAGACGAGGAGCUUGUUCCUCUGACGUUAGCGGCGGACGGGUGAGUAACACGUGGAUAACCUACCUAUAAGACUGGGAUAACUUCGGGAAACCGGAGCUAAUACCGGAUAACAUGUUGAACCGCAUGGUUCAACAGUGAAAGACGGUCUUGCUGUCACUUAUAGAUGGAUCCGCGCCGCAUUUGCUAGUUGGUAAGGUAACGGCUUACCAAGGCAACGAUGCGUAGCCGACCUGAGAGGGUGAUCGGCCACACUGGAACUGAGACACGGUCCAGACUCCUACGGGAGGCAGCAGUAGGGAAUCUUCCGCAAUGGGCGAAAGCCUGACGGAGCAACGCCGCGUGAGUGAAGAAGGUCUUCGGAUCGUAAAACUCUGUUAUUAGGGAAGAACAAAUGUGUAAGUAACUAUGCACGUCUUGACGGUACCUAAUCAGAAAGCCACGGCUAACUACGUG
This 497-nucleotide ribosomal RNA is filed under the name uncultured bacterium. Its description in RNAcentral is "partial 16S ribosomal RNA". It matches the Rfam family "Bacterial small subunit ribosomal RNA", at positions 28 to 507 of the family's 1533-position model. The record is from RNAcentral.